This 301-nucleotide ribosomal RNA is filed under the name uncultured bacterium. RNAcentral describes it as "partial 16S ribosomal RNA". It matches the Rfam family "Bacterial small subunit ribosomal RNA", at positions 509 to 809 of the family's 1533-position model. The record is from RNAcentral.
CAGUCGCCGCGGUAAUACGUAGGGGGCAAGCGUUAUCCGGAAUUACUGGGUGUAAAGGGAGCGUAGACGGUUAAACAAGUCUGAAGUGAAAUGCCGGGGCUCAACCCCGGAGCUGCUUUGGGAACUGUAGAACUGGAGUGUCGGAGGGGUAAGCGGAAUUCCCAGUGUAGCGGUGAAAUGCGUAGAUAUUGGGAGGAACACCGGCGGCGAAGGCGGCUUACUGGACGACAACUGACGUUGAGGCUCGAAGGCGUGGGUAGCAAACAGGAUUAGAUACCCGCGUAGUCCCUGUCUCUUAUAA